UUUAUGGAGAGUUUGAUCCUGGCUCAGGAUGAACGCUGGCGGCGUGCCUAAUACAUGCAAGUCGAGCGAACGGACGAGAAGCUUGCUUCUCUGAUGUUAGCGGCGGACGGGUGAGUAACACGUGGAUAACCUACCUAUAAGACUGGGAUAACUUCGGGAAACCGGAGCUAAUACCGGAUAAUAUUUUGAACCGCAUGGUUCAAAAGUAAAAGACGGUCUUGCUGUCACUUAUAGAUGGAUCCGCGCUGCAUUAGCUAGUUGGUAAGGUAACGGCUUACUAAGGCAACGAUGCAUAGCCGACCUGAGAGGGUGAUCGGCCACACUGGAACUGAGACACGGUCCAGACUCCUACGGGAGGCAGCAGUAGGGAAUCUUCCGCAAUGGGCGAAAGCCUGACGGAGCAACGCCGCGUGAGUGAUGAAGGUCUUCGGAUCGUAAAACUCUGUUAUUAGGGAAGAACAUAUGUGUAAGUAACUGUGCACAUCUUGACGGUACCUAAUCAGAAAGCCACGGCUAACUACGUGCCAGCAGCCGCGGUAAUACGUAGGUGGCAAGCGUUAUCCGGAAUUAUUGGGCGUAAAGCGCGCGUAGGCGGUUUUUUAAGUCUGAUGUGAAAGCCCACGGCUCAACCGUGGAGGGUCAUUGGAAACUGGAAAACUUGAGUGCAGAAGAGGAAAGUGGAAUUCCAUGUGUAGCGGUGAAAUGCGCAGAGAUAUGGAGGAACACCAGUGGCGAAGGCGACUUUCUGGUCUGUAACUGACGCUGAUGUGCGAAAGCGUGGGGAUCAAACAGGAUUAGAUACCCUGGUAGUCCACGCCGUAAACGAUGAGUGCUAAGUGUUAGGGGGUUUCCGCCCCUUAGUGCUGCAGCUAACGCAUUAAGCACUCCGCCUGGGGAGUACGACCGCAAGGUUGAAACUCAAAGGAAUUGACGGGGACCCGCACAAGCGGUGGAGCAUGUGGUUUAAUUCGAAGCAACGCGAAGAACCUUACCAAAUCUUGACAUCCUUUGACAACUCUAGAGAUAGAGCCUUCCCCUUCGGGGGACAAAGUGACAGGUGGUGCAUGGUUGUCGUCAGCUCGUGUCGUGAGAUGUUGGGUUAAGUCCCGCAACGAGCGCAACCCUUAAGCUUAGUUGCCAUCAUUAAGUUGGGCACUCUAAGUUGACUGCCGGUGACAAACCGGAGGAAGGUGGGGAUGACGUCAAAUCAUCAUGCCCCUUAUGAUUUGGGCUACACACGUGCUACAAUGGACAAUACAAAGGGCAGCGAAACCGCGAGGUCAAGCAAAUCCCAUAAAGUUGUUCUCAGUUCGGAUUGUAGUCUGCAACUCGACUACAUGAAGCUGGAAUCGCUAGUAAUCGUAGAUCAGCAUGCUACGGUGAAUACGUUCCCGGGUCUUGUACACACCGCCCGUCACACCACGAGAGUUUGUAACACCCGAAGCCGGUGGAGUAACCUUUUAGGAGCUAGCCGUCGAAGGUGGGACAAAUGAUUGGGGUGAAGUCGUAACAAGGUAGCCGUAUCGGAAGGUGCGGCUGGAUCACCUCCUUUCU
Molecule: ribosomal RNA, 1554 nt
Filed under: Staphylococcus aureus
Lineage: Bacteria; Bacillati; Bacillota; Bacilli; Caryophanales; Staphylococcaceae
Description: 16S ribosomal RNA
Rfam family: Bacterial small subunit ribosomal RNA
Source: RNAcentral